Peromyscus eremicus (cactus mouse) is the source of this 815-nucleotide long non-coding RNA. RefSeq lists it as uncharacterized. The transcript is spliced from 3 exons. NCBI's taxonomy places the organism in Eukaryota, Metazoa, Chordata, Mammalia, Rodentia, Cricetidae. The record is from RefSeq and is a predicted model, not a curated record.
ACCGGUUUGGUUUUUGUUUUUGUUUUGGCAUGUUCUAGAGACCACACUCAGGUCUUGAUACUCAAAAGGUAAGUGUUUCACUAACUGAGUCAUCCCACCAAUCCCUCCAGGCCUUCCUAAGGUCACCUGCCUGGCUUGUACUUUCAGCCUGGUCCUGCCUGCACUCCUGCUGUGACGUGAGGUCCUUACAACCCCAGGACCUGGAAGAAGUGAAAAGAAAGUUCCAUCCCACUUGAUGAAGUGCCUGACUUGAUUCUUUGCAUAAAGAGAAACCGCCUCAGGGACCGACCAACAGAUAAAACAACAGUAAAUGGUGAAAAUGAGAUUGCCCUUCCACCAGAGGGUGGCUCGGCCUAAUUUGACAGUCUUUCACAUUGUUCAGGCUGGCCACAAAAUCACUAUGUAUCCAGGGAUAACCUUGAACUACUGAUCCUUUUGUCAGGACCCCUCAAGGACUGGGAUUACAGGUUCCUGUCCAGGAAAUCAUGUCGAGUUGAGUUGCUGUCUCCUCAGUUUUCUCUUGCCUGUGAUGCAUGCAAGACUUUCCUCAUAUUUUUGUUUUUGUUUGCUUGUUUUGAGAUGGAUUUUGUUCAGGCUGGACUGGUACUUGCAAUGCAGCUUCAAGUGAAAUCCUUGGUGAGGUCCCUGUGUCAGCCUCCAGAAUGUUGGGGUGAUAGGAGUACAAUCCAGAUUUCCCUUUACAGAGAAUUUUCAUAACAUUGUCAGGUGUUUUAUAGGAUGGCCCUUCCUUGUAAUUUGUCUGAAGUUUUUUCUCAUGAUUACAUUGGGGUCCUAGGUUUGGAGCAGGAGCCCAC